GUGCCAGCCGCCGCGGUAAGACGGAGGGUGCUAGCGUUGUUCGGAAUCACUGGGCGUAAAGGGCGCGUAGGCGGCCAAGGCAGUCGGCUCGUGAAAGCCCGGGGCUCAACCCCGGAGGUGCGGCCGAUACUCUUUGGCUGGAGGCCGGAAGAGGAGGGUGGAAUACCCAGUGUAGAGGUGAAAUUCGUAGAUAUUGGGUGGAACACCGGUGGCGAAAGCGGCUCUCUGGUCCGGACCUGACGCUGAGGCGCGAAAGCGUGGGGAGCAAACAGGAUUAGAUACCCCCGUAGUCC
Molecule: ribosomal RNA, 293 nt
Filed under: uncultured bacterium
Lineage: Bacteria
Description: partial 16S ribosomal RNA
Rfam family: Bacterial small subunit ribosomal RNA
Source: RNAcentral